UGGCGACGGGUGAGUAACGCGUGGAUAACCUGCCGUAUACUGGGGGAUAACACUUAGAAAUAGGUGCUAAUACCGCAUAAGCGCACAGUCUCGCAUGAGACGGUGUGAAAAACUCCGGUGGUAUACGAUGGAUCCGCGUCUGAUUAGCUUGUUGGCGGGGUAACAGCCCACCAAGGCGACGAUCAGUAGCCGGCCUGAGAGGGUGAACGGCCACAUUGGGACUGAGACACGGCCCAAACUCCUACGGAAGGCAGCAG
RNAcentral lists this ribosomal RNA (257 nucleotides) under uncultured bacterium. RNAcentral describes it as "partial 16S ribosomal RNA". It matches the Rfam family "Bacterial small subunit ribosomal RNA", at positions 96 to 354 of the family's 1533-position model. The record is from RNAcentral.